CUGACAGCUGUCCUUCAUGACAACAGAAGCCACAGAAAUCCUCCUCAUCAAAAACAUGACUUUGAUCUCCGUCCUCAUCUGGACUCUCCUCUGCUUCACUCAGGAGUCCAGAGGCCAGAUCACAGUGACUCAGCCUGCAGCAGUGAGAGCUGAUCUGAGAGGAUCUGCAACCAUCAGCUGUAAGACCAGUCAGGAUGUUUAUAGUGUGUACGCCUUAGCCUGGUACCAACAGAGAGCUGGACAAGCUCCUAAGUUAUUAAUUAAGUUAGCUGACGAGCGACUGUCAGGGAUUCCAGAUCGUUUUUCAGGCAGUGGAAGAAACUCUGACUUCACUCUGACUAUCAGUGGAGUUCAGGCUGAAGAUGCAGCAGUUUAUUACUGUCAGAGUGUUCAUGAAAUCAACAGUCAGUGGGUGUUCACACAGUGA
Molecule: non-coding RNA, 427 nt
Organism: Scomber japonicus (chub mackerel)
Lineage: Eukaryota; Metazoa; Chordata; Actinopteri; Scombriformes; Scombridae
Source: the annotation of a RefSeq genome assembly